GCUUCCGUGGCUCAGUUGGUUAUGGCGCCAACUGCAGCACCGCCAUCCGAUGACAAAGUGGGAGACGUCCUACGAGUUGGUUGGUCGCGGGUUCGAUUCCCGCCGGAGGUG
Mycena metata is the source of this 111-nucleotide non-coding RNA. The record is from the annotation of a GenBank genome assembly. NCBI's taxonomy places the organism in Eukaryota, Fungi, Basidiomycota, Agaricomycetes, Agaricales, Mycenaceae.